UGGGGAAUUUUGGACAAUGGGCGAAAGCCUGAUCCAGCAAUGCCGCGUGUGUGAAGAAGGCCUUCGGGUUGUAAAGCACUUUUGUCCGGAAAGAAAUCCUCUGGGUUAAUACCUCGGGGGGAUGACGGUACCGGAAGAAUAAGCACCGGCUAACUACGUGCCAGCAGCCGCGGUAAUACGUAGGGUGCAAGCGUUAAUCGGAAUUACUGGGCGUAAAGCGUGCGCAGGCGGUUUUGUAAGACGGAUGUGAAAUCCCCGGGCUUAACCUGGGAACUGCAUUCGUGACUGCAAGGCUAGAGUAUGGCAGAGGGGGGUAGAAUUCCACGUGUAGCAGUGAAAUGCGUAGAGAUGUGGAGGAAUACCGAUGGCGAAGGCAGCCCCCUGGGCCAAUACUGACGCUCAUGCACGAAAGCGUGGGGAGCAAACAGGAUUAGAUACCCUGGGUAGUCCACGCCCUAAACGAUGUCAACUAGUUGUUGGGGAA
This 484-nucleotide ribosomal RNA is filed under the name uncultured bacterium. Its description in RNAcentral is "partial 16S ribosomal RNA". It matches the Rfam family "Bacterial small subunit ribosomal RNA", at positions 355 to 830 of the family's 1533-position model. The record is from RNAcentral.